This 1498-nucleotide unclassified non-coding RNA is filed under the name Hevea brasiliensis (rubber tree). The record is from RNAcentral. Lineage: Eukaryota; Viridiplantae; Streptophyta; Magnoliopsida; Malpighiales; Euphorbiaceae.
UUGUGAGAAACCUUUGAUACCUUGCAAUGAUACUUCGAAUGGGAAUGGUAAAUUGUCAGGGGGAGCAAUUGCUGGGAUUGUAAUUGGCUGUGUUAUUGGAUUUUUGCUAAUUCUAAUGAUUUUGAUCAUAUUGUGUCAAAAAAAGAGAACCAAACAAGGAGUUGCUAAAGAUACUCAGGAGCCAAAGAGGGGCGAAGUUGAAAUUCCCCGCGAAAAGGCAGUGGCUGACAGGGGUAAUGCAAGCACGGGGUUCGCCGGUGCAGCGCCGGUGGCAGCAGCUGCAGCGGCGAUCGCCAAAAGUGAAGCUAAGAGUGGUGGUGGCACUAAAAGUUUGGUGUUCUUUGGGAACACCCCAAGGGUGUUUGAUUUGGAAGACUUAUUGAGAGCUUCUGCAGAAGUGCUUGGGAAGGGGACUUUUGGGACGACCUAUAAGGCCACCUUAGAGAUGGGAGUGGUGGUGGCUGUGAAAAGAUUGAAGGAUGUGACGGUAACAGAGAAGGAAUUUCGAGAGAAGAUUGAAUCUGUUGGGAAGAUAAAUCAUGAGAAUUUGGUCCCAUCAAGAGCUUAUUAUUAUAACAAGGAUGAAAAGCUUCUUGUUUAUGAUUACAUGCCAAUGGGAAGCUUAUCUGCACUUUUACACGGAAAUAGAGGAGCUGGUAGGACUCCAUUGAAUUGGGAGACCAGGUCUGCAAUUGCCCUUGGAGCUGCCAGAGGGAUUGCAUACCUACAUUCUCUGGGCCCUGCGAUCUCACAUGGGAACAUUAAAUCAUCAAAUAUUCUGCUUACUACAUCCUUUGAAGCCCGUGUCGCCGACUUUUGCCUUGCCCAACUUGCAGAUCCUGCCCCCACUCCCAACCGCGUAGAUGGCUAUCGUGCUCCAGAGGUGACAGAUGCUCGCAAAGUAUCCCAAAAAGCAGAUGUUUACAGCUUCGGGAUACUGCUCUUGGAAUUGCUUACAGGAAAGGCUCCCACUCAUUCCCACUUGAAUGACGAGGGAGUAGACCUUCCAAGAUGGGUUCAGUCUGUGGUUAGAGAUGAGUGGACUUCAGAGGUGUUUGAUCUUGAGCUUCUCCGAUAUCAGAAUGUAGAGGAGGAUAUGGUUCAACUCUUGCAGCUAGCAAUCAAUUGCACUGCUCAGUAUCCUGAUAACCGGCCUUCAAUGGCAGAGAUGAGAGACCAAAUAGAGGAGCUUUGCCGUUCUAGCUCACAAGAGCGUGACACACAUCUUGAUAUUGAGGAUGACAAGGCCUCCCAACAGACGUACUCGGUUGAUUCAGGUGCACCGCCACCUUAAUUCAUUAAGGGCUAAAGAAAGAUCAUUUGAUCUUUCAUUGUUUCCACAUUUUUAAUACACUUAUUACUUUAGUGUUUCAAUUGUUUGUUUAUUCUUGGGUUCGUCCAUGAGGACCAACUGUGCAUGUUCAUUUUCCCCCUUUACUCUUGUCCAUUUUUCCUUUGCCCUCUUUCAAAGCACAGAUUUACUUUUGCACUUGUAAGA